UUCCACUGGCAAUUUCUCUUUCACUCUCCACGCCACCAUGCCCUCGUCUUCCUCCCAUGCAUCCUCGCCGGAGACUCACCGUCUUGAACCUCUCUUAGGCUCUAUUCGUCCUUUCCUCCGUGGCGAGCUUGAAAAGGUAAACCCGAUUCUUCCAUCUCUUAUCUCCGUCCUCCGCUCCGUCGGCGCCGGCGAAUGCUGGCACAAGCACGGCACCUUCCUCGAUCACCUCGUUGAUAUCUACCGUAUUCUCAAAAUCUGGAAAGCGCAAGAACCGGUUUGUUUGUGCGGUCUAUUUCACUCCGCUUAUUCCAAUUCCUAUGUCAAUCUCGC
RNAcentral lists this long non-coding RNA (330 nucleotides) under Cucumis sativus (cucumber). RNAcentral describes it as "long non-coding RNA (CSAT_LNC001946)". Lineage: Eukaryota; Viridiplantae; Streptophyta; Magnoliopsida; Cucurbitales; Cucurbitaceae. The record is from RNAcentral.